Homalodisca vitripennis (glassy-winged sharpshooter) is the source of this 849-nucleotide long non-coding RNA. RefSeq lists it as uncharacterized. The transcript has 2 exons. Lineage: Eukaryota; Metazoa; Arthropoda; Insecta; Hemiptera; Cicadellidae. The record is from RefSeq and is a predicted model, not a curated record.
UUUAAUAGUGUUAUAAUACUGUAAACUGUUCAUUGAUUAAAAAAGGAAGCAACUCUGUUACUCGCUUGUACAAGACAGACAUAAUAAUCUUAAUACCAUUAAAAAUAUAAAAAACAUACAUUAAAAAGUCUAUUAUAUUAUGGCUUGAUAGUAUUUCAAAGAUUUUCAAGCUCCGCUCCUUUGCAUCUACAGGUUUGUCAGUAGGGCAUGUGACCAGGUUUGAGAACUGUUAGUUGCUCUAAUAGUAAUUUGAAGGCCGCUUGAAAAAACGGUGUGCACGGAUUCAGACUGAAAAUCGUAGUGAACAUUCUUUUUGAGAGGUUGUAUAUGACGCUUGUCACCAGCUCUUGAUGAUUGACAAUUGGAGUUGUCACUCUGACUAUUGGAGUUGUAUUAUUUUAUUAACGUGGUAUAACUCUCAGUUUACCAUCACUGAAAGCUCCUUUUUGCAUCUACAGUAUCAGUGUUGACCUUCCUCUAAAAACCUGGAGAUGCAAGUCUACUGGAAAGCCUGGGGAACUGGAGACGCAGUGGCCAUGGCUCAGCAUCGCCAACUCAGAAACAGAGCCUUCCUAAUUCUAGGUUUAACAUCAAAACGUUAUUUGCUAACAAGAAACAGGAUUCAUUGGUCAUGUGGCGCAAUGUUAAAACGUUGGGCUUUGGCAAGCAGCCCUCUGCAGAAAAAUUGUUCGUUGGCCUGCAUGUUCCCAAGAUUUGACACCAUUGCGUAAGAAAAUCGCUAACAAUGUAUAUGUGCAGUGCAACAAGUAGUGUUAAAAUCAGGUGUUUGUGAUGCAGAGAAGGAGUCAUGUUAAAAACCAUUUUAAAAUUAAAAUUUACUUAAACUGA